ACAGGCGGACAGCUAAUGUCAAAGCGUAUGGUUUUGCUAACCUCUUCGUCCUGGAGAAGAAAGACCUGUUUGACAUCCUGGUCCACUACCCAGAGUCUCAGAAAGUGUUGGCCAGGAAGGGAAAGAAACUGAUGAAGGCGAAGGGUCCCGCAGCAGCUAAAGCAGAUGACGACAAGAAGAAGGGGCUCGCACUGUUCGGACUCAAACCCCCCACACCCAAACUGCUGCGAGCCUUCGGCGGAAAGAACAUGCUUGAAAGAAUGAAGGCUGUUUCUGCAAACCAAUAAGGAUUGUUGAGAGCUUUUUAUUUACAACUCCUUUUUGGGAGUGAAUGUACAGUUUACUUUUGUACUGAAUGUGUAUUUUGUGUCAUUUUAAGAUAUGUUUUUUUUUUUAUUACAAACAUUUGGUUUGAUAUGCUCAGACAACUCAACAGAACCUCCCUAUCUAAGACAACAAGACAUAGAACAAUGUUACCAAAAUAUUUGAUGAGAUGUGCAAUAUCUGUGUGUGAAAACUACCGCCCUUAGUGGAUACUGCUUGUUGUAUAUUUAUAUAUUUAUCCACCUUGAUUUGUUUGUCUGCUUUUCUCUGCUAUAUUAUUU
Long non-coding RNA from Notothenia coriiceps (black rockcod), 605 nucleotides. RefSeq lists it as uncharacterized. The record is from RefSeq and is a predicted model, not a curated record. The transcript is spliced from 3 exons. Lineage: Eukaryota; Metazoa; Chordata; Actinopteri; Perciformes; Nototheniidae.